Salvelinus sp. IW2-2015 is the source of this 1018-nucleotide long non-coding RNA. RefSeq lists it as uncharacterized. NCBI's taxonomy places the organism in Eukaryota, Metazoa, Chordata, Actinopteri, Salmoniformes, Salmonidae. The record is from RefSeq and is a predicted model, not a curated record.
CCUAAUUUCGACAAAAAAUCUCAAUAUAAUACUUUUUUAAAUCAGGCAACAACAAUAAAAUUUGGAAAAAGUCAAAGGGUGUGAAUACUUUCUGAAGGCAUUGUAUAUAUCCCAAAACUAUCUCAUCUCUACUCUCGUCAUCCUCUUCUCCCUCUGUUAUUCUCUCACCUCUCUCUUCCCUCACCUUGCUCCUCUCCUCGUCUUCCUCUUACCCCUCCACCCUAACCCAUACCUACCCCUUCUAUCUCUCCCCUAACUCUCACACCUCCCUCACUCCAAAAAUUAGGGGUUCAACAACGGUUCUUCUAAAAUCCUCAAACUUCCUUGUAGAACCUUAGUUUUUGGCACUGAAAAAUGCCCCCAAAAGGUUCUUCCAAGAACCCCAGAGGAGGUGGGGUUCAUCAAGGAACUUCUUUAGUUCUUGGGGAUUCUUGCUGGAACCUAACUGCCCAUCUGAAGGACAGCAGGUGCAGGCACUUAACAGAAGCAUUUUAAGAUCUCCUCAAUUUCAGGUAAGGUUCCUCCCUUUACGAUCUAAAUGUAUAUUGUUUUAUGAUGAUACCAUCUAUCUUUUUAUAUUUGUGCAGAUGGUUGUGUUAUUUGAGACUUUCUCCCUUUAAAAAAAAAAAUUCGAAACCAGAAAAUGAACACAAUUCAAUGGAUAUGAAUCAACAAAGAGGUAAGAAUAUGUUGAAGGCUAUAGCUGCAAUGGGCACAGAUAAGUGAACUGCUCACUUAUUUGUGUGUCUGUGUUUGCAGGUAUACUGACGAGGAAGCACACAAAGGACUCAGUCACAGCAGCCAUCUUCCUCCUCCGUUACCUUUUCAGUGAAGAUCCCAGAGGCCUUUACAUCAUGGACAAGACUUCACCCUGCCUACACCUCUGAUGAAUAUAACAGGAAACCUGUUCGAUCACCAUGCACUGCUAAAUCAUUGUGGCUGUGGAUAUGGAGAACAUCAACACAUUAACGUCAUCACACCAGAGGAUAUACCCAUUGGACUUGGGGCUCUGCUGGAA